Transfer RNA from Cavia porcellus (domestic guinea pig), 73 nucleotides. It matches the Rfam family "tRNA". From Rfam's summary of the family: Transfer RNA (tRNA) molecules are approximately 80 nucleotides in length. NCBI's taxonomy places the organism in Eukaryota, Metazoa, Chordata, Mammalia, Rodentia, Caviidae. The record is from Rfam.
GGGGAUUUAGCUGAGUGGCAUAAGCGCCUGCCUUGCAAGCAGGUGAUCGUGAGUUCGAUCCCCGGGAUCCCCG